ACGCUCGACACCUACGGGGGCAGCAGUGGGGAAUAUUGCACAAUGGGGGAAACCCUGAUGCAGCAACGCCGCGUGAAGGAAGACGGUUUUCGGAUUGUAAACUUCUGUUCUUAGUGAAGAUAGUGACGGUAGCUAAGGAGCAAGCCACGGCUAACUACGUGCCAGAAGCCGUGGUAAUCUGAGGCGGCGUGGACGAACGGCG
Molecule: ribosomal RNA, 202 nt
Filed under: uncultured bacterium
Lineage: Bacteria
Description: partial 16S ribosomal RNA
Rfam family: Bacterial small subunit ribosomal RNA
Source: RNAcentral